AUUGAACGCUGGCGGCAGGCCUAACACAUGCAAGUCGAACGAGUGGCGGACGGGUGAGUAAUGUCUGGGAAACUGCCCGAUGGAGGGGGGUAAAUACUGGAAACGGUAGCUAAUACCGCCUACCAUCGGAUGUGCCCAGAUGUGAUUAGCUUUUCGGUGAGGUAACGGCUCACCUAGGCGACGAUCCCUCGCUGGUCUGAGAGGAUGACCAGCCACACGGGAACUGAGACACGGUCCAGACUCCGAAGGGAGGCGGCAGGGGGGAAUAUUGCACAAUGGGCGAAAGCCUGAUGCAGCCAUGCCGCGUGUAUGAAGAAGGCCUUCGGGUUGUAAAGUACUUUCAGCGGGGAGGCGUUACCCGCAGAAGAAGCACCGGCUAACUCCGUGCCAGCAGCCGCGGUAAUAC
Molecule: ribosomal RNA, 406 nt
Filed under: uncultured bacterium
Lineage: Bacteria
Description: partial 16S ribosomal RNA
Rfam family: Bacterial small subunit ribosomal RNA
Source: RNAcentral